UACAGAGGUCCCAAGCGUUGUUCGGAUUCACUGGGCGUAAAGGGUGCGUAGGCGGUCGGGUAAGUCUGAUGUGAAAUCUCACAGCUUAACUGUGAAACUGCAUUGGAUACUAUCCGGCUAGAGGAAUGGAGGGGAGACUGGAAUACUUGGUGUAGCAGUGAAAUGCGUAGAUAUCAAGUGGAACACCAGUGGCGAAGGCGAGUCUCUGGACAUUUCCUGACGCUGAGGCACGAAGGCCAGGGGAGCAAACGGG
RNAcentral lists this ribosomal RNA (253 nucleotides) under uncultured bacterium. RNAcentral describes it as "partial 16S ribosomal RNA". It matches the Rfam family "Bacterial small subunit ribosomal RNA", at positions 524 to 776 of the family's 1533-position model. The record is from RNAcentral.